UUGAUUUGUCUAAUAUGGGAGAAAGAGGCUUAAGGAUGGAUGUAGUGCAGAUUAUUUUAUAGGUAGGGCGGCAAACAGAAAUUUGAUUUAGUUUAAACCCAAAGGAUUGUAUUUUCUCUGUGGGUUUCAGCAGAGCCGUGGAAAUUGGCCCUGGACCCCUAGGGGAAUGGAAGAAGUGGCAGUUACAGGUCAGGGCCGAAAUCAUGGCAUAAUGGAAGAGCAGUUGAAAUUGGCUCCCACAAAUGGGAACAGGACCGGGAUCCAGUUUCUCAUCUGCUGCAAAAGGGGAACAGGACCGGGAUCCAGUUUCUCAUCUGCUGCAAAAGGAUUUCUUAUUUAUUCCAAAGGAUCACGUUGAGAUGGACCAGCCGGGAGCCCUUUUGGUUUAUAAGGAGAUUCCAUGCUUCUUCCCUACCCCCACCAUUUUACAU
Choloepus didactylus (southern two-toed sloth) is the source of this 431-nucleotide long non-coding RNA. RefSeq lists it as uncharacterized. The record is from RefSeq and is a predicted model, not a curated record. The transcript has 3 exons. NCBI's taxonomy places the organism in Eukaryota, Metazoa, Chordata, Mammalia, Pilosa, Megalonychidae.